RNAcentral lists this ribosomal RNA (253 nucleotides) under uncultured bacterium. Its description in RNAcentral is "partial 16S ribosomal RNA". It matches the Rfam family "Bacterial small subunit ribosomal RNA", at positions 524 to 776 of the family's 1533-position model. The record is from RNAcentral.
UACAGAGGGUGCGAGCGUUAAUCGGAAUUACUGGGCGUAAAGGGCUCGUAGGCGGCCAACUAAGUCAGACGUGAAAUCCCCAGGCUUAACCUGGGAACUGCGUCUGAUACUGGAUGGCUUGAAUUCGGGAGAGGGAUGCAGAAUUCCAGGUGUAGCGGUGAAAUGCGUAGAUAUCUGGAGGAACACCGGUGGCGAAGGCGGCAUCCUGGACCGACACUGACGCUGAGGCGCGAAAGCCAGGGGAGCAAACGGG